Molecule: ribosomal RNA, 497 nt
Filed under: uncultured bacterium
Lineage: Bacteria
Description: partial 16S ribosomal RNA
Rfam family: Bacterial small subunit ribosomal RNA
Source: RNAcentral
GAUGAACGCUGGCGGCGUGUCUAAUACAUGCAAGUCGAGCGAACAGACGAGGAGCUUGCUCCUCUGACGUUAGCGGCGGACGGGUGAGUAACACGUGGAUAACCUACCUAUAAGACUGGGAUAACUUCGGGAAACCGGAGCUAAUACCGGAUAACAUGUUGAACCGCAUGGUUCAACAGUGAAAGACGGUCUUGCUGUCACUUAUAGAUGGAUCCGCGCCGCAUUAGCUAGUUGGUAAGGUAACGGCUUACCAAGGCAACGAUGCGUAGCCGACCUGAGAGGGUGAUCGGCCACACUGGAACUGAGACACGGUCCAGACUCCUACGGGAGGCAGCAGUAGGGAAUCUUCCGCAAUGGGCGAAAGCCUGACGGAGCAACGCCGCGUGAGUGAUGAAGGUCUUCGGAUCGUAAAACUCUGUUAUUAGGGAAGAACAAAUGUGUAAGUAACUAUGCACGUCUUGACGGUACCUAAUCAGAAAGCCACGGCUAACUACGUG